UCAGUUGUGAAAGUUUGCGGCUCAACCGUAAAAUUGCAGUUGAUACUGGAUAUCUUGAGUGCAGUUGAGGCAGGCGGAAUUCGUGGUGUAGCGGUGAAAUGCUUAGAUAUCACGAAGAACUCCGAUUGCGAAGGCAGCCUGCUAAGCUGCAACUGACAUUGAGGCUCGAAAGUGUGGGUAUCAAACAGGAUUAGAUACCCUGGUAGUCCACACGGUAAACGAUGAAUACUCGCUGUUUGCGAUAUACGGCAAGCGGCCAAGCGAAAGCGUUAAGUAUUCCACCUGGGGAGUACGCCGGCAACGGUGAAACUCAAAGGAAUUGACGGGGGCCCGCACAAGCGGAGGAACAUGUGGUUUAAUUCGAUGAUACGCGAGGAACCUUACCCGGGCUUAAAUUGCAGAUGAAUUAUGGUGAAAGCCGUAAGCCGCAAGGCAUCUGUGAAGGUGCUGCAUGGUUGUCGUCAGCUCGUGCCGUGAGGUGUCGGCUUAAG
Molecule: ribosomal RNA, 491 nt
Filed under: uncultured bacterium
Lineage: Bacteria
Description: bacterial SSU rRNA
Rfam family: Bacterial small subunit ribosomal RNA
Source: RNAcentral